CAUGCCGUAAACGAUGUCUACUAGCCGUUGGGGCCUUUGAGGCUUUAGUGGCGCAGCUAACGCGAUAAGUAGACCGCCUGGGGAGUACGGUCGCAAGACUAAAACUCAAAUGAAUUGACGGGGGCCCGCACAAGCGGUGGAGCAUGUGGUUUAAUUCGAUGCAACGCGAAGAACCUUACCUGGCCUUGACAUAGUAGAAACUUUCCAGAGAUGGAUUGGUGCCUUCGGGAAUCUACAUACAGGUGC
This 246-nucleotide ribosomal RNA is filed under the name uncultured bacterium. RNAcentral's name for it is "partial 16S ribosomal RNA". It matches the Rfam family "Bacterial small subunit ribosomal RNA", at positions 796 to 1041 of the family's 1533-position model. RNAcentral also lists the same sequence under 1 other name. The record is from RNAcentral.